UAAGGCACAACCUGGGAUGACUUGGGUCUCAGAUUUAAAAUAAUAAUACUGGAUGUUCCUGGAAUUUGUUGGCAUAACCAUUGUUCGUUGGGCAUAGGAAGAAAACGUACUCGAGUUCUUUACGCGCUACAGAUUCGGGAAGAAUUGGCGACGAGCUUAAUUACGGAAAUAACAGGUAGGUUAAUGGACCCCCUACAUCUUAAGGACCUUACACACCGGACGCGAUGCGAAUUUGCGACUUUGCGAGACUUUUUUUUUUUUUUUACAAAAGAUUCGCCUAAGUUUCAGAACGAAAAAAACAUGGAUUCAACUUCAUCCAGUGAUGACGAUGUGGUCCUCUACCUCCUCACUCGACAGAAGAAGAGGAGAUUUUGGGUACAUCCUUUAUUACAAAGUCGAGAAAGAGAAGGAGAGUUCCAUUGCCUCAGAGAGGAGCUGAAGCUCUACCACGGCUAGGUUCCGGACAUAUUUUCGGAUGUCGGUGGGACAGUUUGAGGUCCUUCUGGGGAUACUAGCGCCGCAUAUGACGAGGCAAAGCACCAACUACCGGGAUCCUAUCGACCCAGAGCCAUUUUCUAUUUUUAUAUGGUUUUGUAAACUAAUCUGGAAUCACUUGUGGCACUCUUUGCUGUACCGUGCGUAGUGUACAUUGUCGUAACGUCGUUCCACGCAAUGUGAUAGGUUGAUGCGUUUAUUCGUGUAUUAUGUUGUCUAGGUUCGUCUUGUUGUUUAGUUAUGUUUCGUUACGAUUUAUUUUCUUGUCAUGUUUAGUUAUGUCUCGUUACGAUUUAUUUUCUUGUCAUGUCUAGUUAUGUUUUCGUACGAUUAUAUUCCUGGUUAUGUUUAGUGGUUAUCGUCUUAGUUUCGCGUUGUGUCAUGUUUUGAUUUAUGUUUAUUGUUACGUUAACUGGUCUCGGUUUAUGCAUACACUUUUACAUGUUUUUCCGCAAACCUUGCGUUCCGCCUUUUCUCUCUCUCUCCUUCUGUCAUUCACUUCCUAAUUGUUUCUAUUUGUCUAUUUACUAAAACUACUAACGCUAGAUCAGGAUUGGGUAGAGACUAACAAACUAAUCAUGUGUUCAUGUUACCUUACGUUUCUCGUGCAUGUCAUUUACUAAUUUACUAAUGCUAGGGCAGGAUAGGUUAUUACUAACGAUUACUAAUCUCCUUGUUAAACUUUUCAUCCAUCGCACCUGUUUUCCAUUUCCUUGCUACGCUCUAACUAAUUGUCUACACCUGUCUACACCCGCAUUUAUAGCCCAGUCGCGCAACUGUUCACUGCGAAAUUGUCUGCCUCUGUUUUCCACGCAACUCUUGAGCAUUUACUGUUUUGAUUACACGUUACGAUCCAAGCCCGUCAUCGACUAUUGAUUAUUGAUUUCUGUUUUGUGACCAUCGUUUGUUUUUUGACUACGUCCUCGCCUACCGUUUUUGUACUUUUGCCCCGCUGAUUGUUUCAUGGUUUCGACUCCCGCUUCGCCCACGACUACGCCUCUGCCUGCCGUCCGCCUGUUCAUCUGCCCCGCUGACAGCUCUCCUGCUACCGGACCUCCCUGCACGUCUACCGACUACGAGAUUGCCUCUUCCCUCGGCACCGUGCUUUUUGUUUGUUUUAUAUUUGUUUGGCUGGAUCUUCGUGUAUGGACUUUGCUUGUGUUUACUACGCUCCUGGGACUCGUCCCGAAUAAAGCCCUAACGGGACUUUAUUUAACUAUUGUUUCUGAGUCGUGCAUUUUGGGUCCAACCCCCACGCACCCGUCUCAGGUCCAAUGCACCCAUGCUGCUUGCCCCCGAACAAUAAUAAUAAUAAUUAAUAAUAAUAAUAAUGAUAUGCACCCACAUGGACAGUCAAGCUGUGAAAUUCUGGAUUUAUAAACACCCUCAUUAAGUGACACAUAGUGCUUAAACAUCAGGCGAUAGAAAGUGGCAAAAUCUGGCAGUGUAUUCACAGAAUUACUCAUAUUUUCAUUUUGUAUGUAAAUGUAAUUGGAAUGUAAUUAUACUUACAUAUACUAUCUUUGUAUUCUCACCAGGUUCACAAACAUGAGUGUAUCUCCGAUGAUGACACAGUGUCCUCGCUGCCAGCAGGAGCAGGUGAACUUGGUGGGGCAUCAGCGUGCCGUGUGCACUCCCUGCUCCAAGGCCCUGCGACGUAUGUACCAGUUCUGUUGUUCGUGCCAACGGGAAUGGCAGGGGGAGAACAACUACUGCAGCCUUCCUUGGUGUGGGAUACGGGCUGCUCUUCUCUCCGAUGCUGUGAACACAGACCCGGACAGCUGCGUAGUGGGAUGUCCCAUUUUCCGCGCAUGUCCCUCAUGCAAAGCCCUUCUGAUGCAUUCAGGGGAGGGGUGCCCAAACAUCGUGUGUCAGCAGUGCCAUACGGGUUUCUGCUAUCGCUGUCUUAGGGAGGAAUGUGUGGGUGAAUUUCAUUUUGAUGAUGAAGACGAAGACAAAGACGAAGACGAAGAUGAAGACGGAGUUGAAGAUCAACACUGUGAGAUUUAUGGUGAUUAUCCUUUACCAUGCACUAUUGUAGAUAAUAGCAACACUCUGAAAGAAUUGAAUUGAACGGUUUAAUUUGAACGUAUUUCACUGGAUUGAUUCAUGAAUUUACAAUUAGGAUCAAUAAUUUAACUUUAUGUAACUGGUUUAAUGAAUUUUAAAUUCAAUACAUUUUAUAUGCAUUUGUUCUUGGUCUUUGUUAAUUAUUGCCGUAAGCUCUGCUCUGUGAGUGAAAUAUGUGUACAAUCAUUAAUUUCAGUGCUCAUCUUUUCACCUCGUGUAACAAAUACAAAACUCACUUUUACGUACAGGUAUAUUUUAUACACUUUGAAAUAUGGUUAAUUACUAUUUGCUGUGUUUUGAUUUCAUUUAAACCAAUUCUAAACAUGUAAGUCUUUCCCCAUUGACUAAAUAAUAAUCAAACUUGUAUUUUAUUAUGUAUGAAAUGUGUAUUGAUAAUAAAAUAUAUUAUUUAGAAACCCUGA
Conger conger (European conger) is the source of this 2987-nucleotide long non-coding RNA. RefSeq lists it as uncharacterized. The record is from RefSeq and is a predicted model, not a curated record. The transcript is spliced from 2 exons. Lineage: Eukaryota; Metazoa; Chordata; Actinopteri; Anguilliformes; Congridae.